This 13849-nucleotide long non-coding RNA is filed under the name Octopus vulgaris (common octopus). Lineage: Eukaryota; Metazoa; Mollusca; Cephalopoda; Octopoda; Octopodidae. The record is from RNAcentral.
UUUGUUUACUUCGAUGGUUGUGUAAAAAAACUCUUGCUUCUUCUCUCCCGGUCACAUUGUCUGCCCAAAUCGGACCCCUAUCUGCCGAAUAUGUGUGCCGUUUCAUUGAUUCACCAAUGCCGGAAUGUCCAGUGGCGUCGCCCGCCAACUGACGCCUGCCGUAGCUGAGAUAUUCGGACAGAUUGGACGAGGGUUCGAUCGAUGUUGUUCUCGGCUGAGGUGAGUUUUGUGUUCUUAAAGCAAUUCUAAAGUCGGUGAUCACAUUACGUCUAAGCUUUUUAGAUUCUCUACACAUCGACUUCCCUUUCAAAUAUAUCCAGUAAGACUUCCUCUUUACACAACAAACACCCAACACUUGCACAUAUAUAUACACACAUAUAUAUAAAGAGAAAGAGAGAGAGACGUAUAUAGGCCAAAUGCAAUAAAGAUAGUGAUCAGGUUUCGCUUCUUGCCCUAGAAAUAUCGACCAGACGAGCCGCUCUCUUCUCCCCACUCCUCCAUUUUACAACUUCGUCUGUGAACUCCAGACAUUAUUUUUCCUAAAAAUCAUUCACAACCACGUUUCCUUUUUCUCCCCCACAACCACCAACACCAUCACCAUCUUUCCUGUAAGGUACUCACUCCCUAUAUAUAUAUAUAAAGUGAUUCUAUAUGUAUUUAUAUGUUAUAUAUGUGUCUUUGCAUGUACGGGUAUAACCCUAUAGUUUGUACUUUCAGAGAGUUUACAUGUCAUGGAAAGAAAUAUAAAUAUUCAGGCCAUAAUAAGUUUUCAGUGGUUAUUUUUAAUACGUUUCGCUCCGCUAUUAAUAAAACUUGUCCAACUACAAUUACAUACUUACAUACACACACAUAUAUACAUAUAUACACACAUAUAUACAUAUAUUGUAAAGUACAGAUGUAUUAUAUAUCUUUGUGUACCGUGGCUAACCCGAUAAUUUAAAUAUUGACUCCAGGUACGGAUAUCGAUUUUGAUGAAGGCAUUUCCUUAGUUCAAAAAUAGUUUGAUAUCUAUUUCCCUCUUUUUUCUUCUUUUGUGUCUAUUUUGUUCGUCUACCGAGGCGGUACAUUCCCCUCAACCUCAUUAGUCCUUGAUCCACAACACACUAGGACAUCGAUAUUAAUUAAUGAAGUUUUCUGUGAUUAAUAAAUGUUCAGCUUCUUAACAAAUUUUUUCAAAUUAAUUCAAGACGACGCGAAUAUUAUUCAACAAUCGAUUACGGUGUGUAUAUAUAUAUAUAUCUAUACCUGAACCUAUAUACUUAAAUAUAUGUAUACAAUCAUCAUCACCAUCAUAGUUUUAACGUCCACUUUUCCAUGCCUGCAUGGACCAGACGAAGUUUAUUCAGGUUGAGUUUCUGUAAGCGGGUGCACUUUCUGUCGGCGACCCUCACCUGUUUUCGAACCAAGGUAAUAUUUCUCCAUGGCUAGACAUGUUCUCGCAGAAUAUUUGAAUAUGUAUAGAUAUAGAUGUAUGUCUGUAUUUUUUUUUUUUAAUUCUUUUACUUGUUUCAGCCAUUUGACUGCGGCCAUGCUGGAGCACCGCCUUUAGUCGAACAAAUCGAUCCCAGGACUUAUUCUUUGUAAGCCUAGUACUUAUUCUAUCGGUUUCUUUUGCCGAACCGCUAAGUUACGGGGUCAUAAACACAACAACAUCGGUUGUCAAGUGAUGGUGGGGGAACAAACACACACAUAAACAUGUAUAUAUAUACAUACACGACGGGCUUCUUUCAGUUUCCAUCUACCAAAGCUACUCAAGGCUAUAUUAGAAGACACUUGCCCAAGGUACCAUGCAGUGGGACCGAUCCUUGAACCACGUGGUUGGAAAGCAAGCUUCUUACCACACAGCCACUCCUGUGCCUAUGUAUAUAUAUAUAUUUCUUUUUUUCUUUCUCUCUCCAUGUUCUCCUCUCUAUCCUUUCUGACAAAGAGCAUAGGCUCAAAAUGUCGAAGACUUUUCCAUUCUUCUUGAGUGUCGAACUAAUACACCUGCUUGUUCCCUCACCUGCCUUUGUCUUUUGUUUUCUGUACAUCUUAACUAUAUAUUUAUAGUUGGCAACCGAUUUUGGUGUUUUUACGUUCCCAUAACUUAGCAGUUCAACAAAAGAGGCUGAUUGAAUAAGUCCUAGGCUUACAAAGAAUAGAUCCUGGGGUCAAUUUCUUCAACUAAAAACCCCAUAAGGUGGUGCUCCAGCAUGGCCACAAUCACAUUACUGAAAUGAGUAAACAAAUAAAAUAUAUCUCCAGCAUGGCUGCAGUCAAAUGACUGAAACAAGUAAAAGAACCGUCCAACCCAUGCUAGCAUGGAAAACGGAUGUUAAACGCUGAUGAUGAUGAUGAUGAUGAUAUAUAUAUAUAUAUAAUAAUGUGAGAGACCCAUCAGAUUAAUGUAAAAUUGUUUUUUUGCAAUGGAAUAUAAAAACAAAUAUUAACAUGUCUGUCCGUUACGAUUGAGAAGGUGAAUGACAAUGACCUUUUUGUGUGCGCAGUCUGUUACAGACCAUGGCUUUCUUUUGCUGGGCUCAAAUCUCAUUUCUGAACCCAUGGAAAUCGAACCUUCACCAACUAUUCUGCCUAUUUGCCUGUGCACACCUUUGAAUGCAAUGUAUGCCAGAAAGUUUGCAACUCUAACGGAGGCCUGAAAAGACAUUUUAAGAUCCACAAAGAUCAGAACUUAUCUGCAGCUCUUGGUGGUCCAAAUCGGAUAUGCAAUCUAUGUGGGUUUCUUUUCAAAAUAUUGUCAAGUGUAAAAAGCCACAUCAGAUGCCAUGAUGAUUCUAAGGUGUAGGUACAGGAGGAGGUGGUCAGACUCUGCAUAAGGAGUAGACAAUCUCCAUGUAUGUAUAUAUGUAGUGGAUGCAAUGAACAAUAAAAGAAAGGCAAAAGACACCACAGGAUGGACAAAUUAAAUAAAACACUGCAUUAGCUUAAUGCUUAAAUGGUGGGGAGGGUGGUCUUAAUAUUUCGGACAUUAGUCUUCCAUCAUAAGAAAGAGAAAAUAUUAAAAGGAUUAAGGAAGAAAAAAUUAGGGAGAGAGAAAAAAAAUAAGAGGUAAGGGAUUUGCAGCCAGCUUGGAAUGCAGUUCAGUUGACAGGAAAUGUGUAUAAAUACAUUUUUAUUUUUAAGUAAGCUAAUUGCUUAUUGAAUUUGUGUGAAAUGGUUGAGUAUCCCACAUAUGCUUGUACGAUCACAGUGUGGGACAAGGUUGGAGCUUUGAAGUACAGAGCUUUGAUCAAUUUGACUGGUUUCCACACAAUUUCCAUCCGUUUAGUUUCUCUCACAAGGCUUCCUAACAAUACACUUGGUGAGUUUGCUCAAACAAUGGAAUCCACUGAAUCCUGUAGCCUCAUCUAAUAGCAAGUGUUUGCUACCACUUAAGGCUACUCAGCCAGUGGUGUUGUAGGCAAGUGAAGUUCUGUGGUGGACCUUUGUAGUGUUACUUUUGUAAAAAUUGGUGGCAGACCAAACUUAUCUAUUUUUCUCACUUUGAUAAUGUUUUUUUUUAUUUUUACAUUCAUAUAUUUAGUGAAACUGUAUAAGAACUUCAUUCGGUGGCAUGUAAAAUAUAAAAAGCACCAUCCGAACAUGGCUGAUGCCAGUACUAUCUGACUGGCUCCUAUGCCAGUGGCAUGUAAAAAGCACCAACCAAGCGUGGUCGGUGCCAGGUCCACCUGACUGACCUCCGUACCAGUGAUACAUAAAAAGCACUAUCCAAACAUGAUCGAAUCCAGUACCCUCUGACUGGCCCCUGUGCUGGUGGCAUGUAAAAAUCACCUACCAAACAUGGUUGGUGCCAAGUCCACCUGACUGACCUCCGUGCCAAUGACGUGUAAAAAGCACUAUCCAAACGUGAUCGAAUCUAGUACCCCCUGACUGGCCCCUGUGCUAGUGGCAUGUAAAAAGCACUAUCCAAAUGUGGGCAUGCCAGCACCCCCUGACUGGCCCCUGUGCCAUUGGCACAUAAAAAGCACUAUACAAAUGUGGCCAAUGCCAUUACUCCCCCUGAUUGACCCUUGUGCCUGUGGAACGUAAAAAGCACCCACUACACUCUCGGACUGGUUGGCAUUAGGAAGGGCAUCCAGUUGUAGAAACAUUACUAGAUCUGAUUGGAGCCUGAUGCAGCCAUCUGGCUCGCCAGCCCUCAAGUCAAACCAUCCAACCCAUGCCAGCAUGGAAAGCGGACGUUAAACAAUGACGAUGAUGAUGAUAUUGCUAACUUAGGCUUUGUCCACCUCACCCUGCAUUUUAAGGUCUGUUGUUGGUAAAGGAAAAAAACACAGGAAAGAAAAUGCACACAAUAUAAAUGCGGAGACCUUUGGCGAUAUACCCUGCUUGUGUAGACCUGUGAAGCCAAGUGAGAUUAUAGUGAUGGACGAUGCUGUUGUCACGUCCGUGGCACCGAUGCUGGUGGCACGUAAGGAGCUCCCACUACAUUCUUGGAGUGAUUGGUGUUAAGAAGGACAUCCAGCUGUAGAAACACUGGGGGCACGGUGGGAGGGGGGGUUGAUGUAAUUGACUUAUCCUCUCCCCCAAAAUGGCUAAAAUAGCAGGCUGUGAUUUGAGGAAGACUUGGUUGUUAUUUCUACCCGAUUAAUAACCAUGUGGAGAGCCUCUCCACCAUUGCCACUCCUCUCUCUCUCUGUCCAGUGGUUCAACAGUAUUUAUUUGUGUCAGAGUGGUCAGUUUGGUGAUCAACAAACUUCUCUAGAUUGUCACUUUGUAAGAAGACGGUGGCAGUGGUGGUUGGGGCGGCGGCGGCGGUGGUGGUGGCGGCGGCGGCGGCAGUAAUUAAUGUGUCACUCAGUGCACCUCUCUGUCACUCUCUCUAUCAAUCCUUUCUCUCUCUCCCUCUCUCUUUCCACUAUUUAGUAACUGAUUCACACACCCCCACCAUGUCCUUAAUACUCACUGAAGUUUUAUAACCCUAGGUCAGUCCUGGUCCAGCUGUCCUAGGACACACAGGUUGUUGUUGUUGUUGCUGUUGUUGUUGCAUAGCCCAAUUGUUUAUGAAUUUGUUUUGCUAGAUUCCUGAUGUGGAACAGAUCUUCUUCUUACAUUUGGGGAUGGUCAGUAACACCUGGGUCAAUCCUGAUCCACAGAGUCACUUGGUGCGUGUGUGUGUUCCCUGGUGUCACCUAAUCAUUCAGUCUGCUAGAAAUAGCAGCCAAACUCUCUCUCCUAUCAAACCCUGCUAUCUAGAAAAAGAAAAAAAAAAAAAAGAAAAGAGAAAAGAAAAGGAAGUUUAAGCACAUUUAGACAGUGCAAUUCUUAAUAUAUAAAAUGACAGGUUGGUCGUGACUGGAACCCUAUUGGUUUUAGGAAUUGCUCAGUCAAGGCUAGCCUGGGGUUAAACAGUAAUAAUACCACCAUGUAGUAGAGUUGAUUCAUUAUUCUCUGCUCUUGAUCAGAGCUGACCAAUGCCUUGAGUAAGUUUGGUAACCAGAAAUUAUGUGGAAGCCUGUUGUGUAUGUGUGUGUGUGUGUGUUUGUGUUUGUAUAUAUAUGUAUAGGUAUGGCUGUGUGGUAAGAAGCUUGCUUCCCAACCACAGUAUUCUGGGUUCUGUCCCACUGCAUGGCACCUUAAGCAAGUGUCUGUUACUAUAGUCAACCAAAGCUUUGUGAGUGGAUUUUGGUUGACGGAAACUCAAACAAGCCUAUUGUGUGUGUGUGGCUUUAUGUCUUUGCCUCCCUGCCCCCAUCACCGCUUGGCAACCUGUGUUGGUGUGUUUACAUCCCCCGUAACUUAGCAGUUUGGCAAAAGAGAUCAAUAGAAUAUGUCAUAGACUUAAAAAGAAUAAGUCCUUGGGUUGAUUUGUUUGACUAAAACACUUCGAGGCAGUGCUCCAGCAUGGCUGCAGUCAAAUGACUGAAACAAGUCAAAGAAUAUGUGUGUGUGUGUCUUUGUGUUUGUUCCUACCACUGCUUGACAGCCAGUGUUGGUUUCUUUAUGGUCCCCAUAACUUAGCAGCUCAGCAAAGAGGGGACUGAUAGAAUAAAUACCAGACUUCAAAGAAAAAGAUAUACCUAUGUACUGGAGUUGAUUUGUACAACCAAGCCUUUCAGUGCAGUGCUCCAGCAUGGCCACUAUCCCGUAUCUGAAACCAGUAAAAGACAGAAAAUUGUUCAGUGUUAAUGCUGGUGUUGUUGACCCCUAUGCUGUCCCUGACCCAGCAGACUGUGACUCAAGGUGUUCUAGCUAUGACCAUCACAUCUAUUAAGGUGCAAUGUGCAUAGGCCAACAUUAUCCAGCAUUAUUGUUGUUGUUUAACCCCAGGCCAACCCUGAUCCAGUUGCUCUUUCUAGUAAAGAUGGUUAGUCAAACAGUUGGGAGAUCCACAGAUUUAUAUAUUUUUUUACAUGGCCUGGUUUUCCAUCAGUUACGAUGAUGAGGAUUCCAGUUGAUACAAUCAAUGGGACAGCUUGCUUGCGAAAUUAAUGUGGAAGUGACUGAGUACUCCACAGACACAUGUACCCUUAACGUAGUUCUCGGGGAGAUUCAGUGUGACAUAGAGUGUGACAAGGCUUCCCCCUUUGAAACACAGGUACUACUCGUCUUUGCCAGUUGAGUGGACUAGAGCAAUGUGAAAUAAAUCGUCUUGCUCAAGGAUACAACUAGCUGCUGGGAAUUGAACUCAUGACCUUCCAGUUGUGAGCCACAUACCCUAACCACUAAGCCAUGUGCCUUUAUAUAUACAUACAUACAUAUAUAUGUGUGUGUGUGUCUGUGUGUUUAGGCGUGGCUGUAUGGUUAAGAAUUUCACAUCAGUACAUGUAGUUCCUGGUUCAACCCCACUCCAGAGCACCUUGCCCUUUACUAUCUGAAGCCUUGUGAGCGGAUUUCGUAGACGGAAACUGUGUUGAAGCCUGUCAUGUGUGUAGCUCUGGAUCAUGAUUUCUACGCUUUUCAGGAGCAUGGAACCACCUCUGAAAGCUCUACUUUGACUCUGAAGAGUAACAUCUGUCUGGGUCUAAGCUAUGGGUUAAAUAACAUGUGAUGACAAUCCCUGUGAGUAGAGGGACACAGAAAUAUCCCCGAUUGGUGCCAGAGUACAUAGAACCACUGGGAGUGAGGUGCUAACUGUUAUCACAGCUUCCUUCUAUAAGUGAGGUACUCUAAUGUCAACUAGGGUUUUUGUGUGAUUACUGGGCAUCUUGCUUCUGUCUGUUGCUAAGUACUAAUUAUGUAAUUUACUAAAUUCACAUUUAAUUGUAUUAGUGGAUUGACAGUAUAUCUAUGUAAAUUUGGAGAAUCUUGUCUCUCACAAUAUCAAAUUAUUUCUAAGGUAGCAAGCUGGCAGAAACAUUAGCACACUGUACAAAAUGCUUAGUGGUAUUUCAUCUGUCUUUACGUUCUGAGUUCAAAUUCCGCCAAGGUCGACUUUGCCUUUCGUCCUUUCGGGGUCAAUGAAUUAAGUACCAGUUAUGUACUGAGGUCGAUCUAAUUGACUGGCCACCUCCCACAAAAUUCAGACCUUGUGCCUACAGUAGAAACGAAUAUUUUUUUCUUCAAGGGCAGCAAGCCGGCAGAAACAUUAGCACACCGAGCGAAAUGCUUAGUGGUAUUUCGUCUGCCGCUACGUUCUGAGUUCAAAUUCCGUCGAGGUCGACGUUGCCUUUCUUCCUUUCAGGGUCGAUUAAAUAAGUACCAGUUAUGCACUGGGGUCGAUAUAAUCGACUUAAUCCAUUUGUCUGUCCUUGUUUGUCCUCUGUGUUUAGCCCCUUGUGGGUAGUAAAGAAAUGGGUAUUUUGUGUCUUUAUGUUCUGAGUUCAAAUUACGGUGAGGUCGACUCUGCCUUUUAUCCUUUCAGGGUCAGUAAAUUAAGUACCACUUGCGUACUGGUACUAAUCAACUUCGCCCCCCCCCCCCGCCCAAAAAAAUUUCAGGCCUUGUGCCUAAAGUGGAAAAGAAUAUCAAAACAUUUCUCAUGGCAUCAGCAGAUAAAAUGGAAAAGGAGGAUAGCAGAGGAGAUGUGCUGGAACAGCCACUCCGACACACAGGGAUGGCAUUUGUGGACAGCAAUCCCUGCCCUGAUAGCAGUGACAGAAAUAUGGUCCAAGGGCCAAGAAUGCUGGAGGUCUCAACUGCCACAGGCUCAACUAUAAACCUGUUGGAGAGCAACCGAUAUCAUGACAGUUUGUUUUUCUCAACCUGAUGAGCAGCAGAGCCUGGGCCCGUAGCUGACAACAAGUUUCCACUGGAGAACGUGUCACACAGCACGUGGCAUCCCAGAUGAGGGCUCUGCUGCCACAGGAUGGGAAAAUUGUCAUAUUGUCUGGCAUUCUACCAUCCCCUCAGUUUAGCCCCACUGGCAUGAAAUGGGAAGGGAAACCUGCAACACUUAGGCCCAGUUUUAUGUACUAAUUAUGGAGACCCAAACAGUGGUACUUCAACAGAUGUUUAUCACCAGAAUCCAGCAUUUGACAAUAUACAGGCUAAAAGUACAAAGUCCAGCAUCUAAGCCCUUAGUAAUUGGGUGUGUUAACUUUUUUUUUCGCAAAAGAAUGAAGGUAGGUGGUGAGUUUAGGUUGGUCCUGUCUUUGUAUGCUGUUGAUGUUGUUGUUGUUAUUUAAGGUAUUUCGUGUUUUCACUUGUAAGGUUGACCUGUAUAUUGUCAAAGCAAAAAUGAUUAAAUCCCAUACCAGCAAAAGCAACAAAAAUAAUGUCACAGCUUGUGUCUAACUAAUGAGCGAGAAACACCUACAGGCUUGUUUACAAAGUUCUCCAUGCAUCAAUAAAUCCUAAGCAAUAAACCACAUAUUUAAUCAAUAAAAAAAAGUGUUUCCAAAACACCCUCUCCAUAAAAACCAAAUUACCACCCACUCAGACCUUCACACCCAAAGAUGAUCAUUAACUGAACAGAGACUGUAUAUAAAGUCCUAUCUAACUCCAAUGCAUCGCAGUCCGCUAAUGGCUUAGCUGGCUGAAACUUCAGAGUCACUGUCAACAACAUCCCUGUAUAUGAAUAAUAUAUAUAUAUUAAUAUUAUCAUCAUCAUUUAAAGUCUGCUUUCCAUUUAUUAUUCGAUACCACUGUCACAUAACUGGCACCUGUGCCGGUGACACGUAAAAGCACCCAUUACACUCUCAGAGUGGUUGGUGUUAGGAAGGGCAUCCAGCUGUAGAAACCAUACCUAUUUCUUUAUUACCCACAAGGGGCUAAACAUAGAGGGGACAAACAAGGACAGACAUAGGUAUUAUGUCGAUUACAUCGACCCCAGUGCGUAACUGGUACUUAAUUUAUCGACCCCGAAAGGAUGAAAGACAAAGUCGACCUCGGCGGAAUUUGAACUCACAACGUAACGGCCUACGAAGUACCGCAAAGCAUUUCGCCCAGUGUGCUAACGCUUCUGCUAGCUCGCCGCCUUUAGAAACCAUACCAAAUCAGACUGGAACAUGGUAUGACCCUCCAGCUCAACAGUUUUGGUCAAAUUCUCUAACCCAUGCCAGCAUGGAGAGUAGAUGUUAAAUGAUGAUGAUGUGUUUGUUAACCACAUUAAAAAAAAGUUAUUUUCCUUUAUUUUGAUUUUACAAACAUCUUUUCUUCUAUUUCAGAUUGAAAACAGCUAAACUUAUAUUUAAACUUCACCGAGCUCCUUCACAACCAAACAGAUUUUUGUAUUCGCAUAUACACCCUGCAUAGACUCUUUGGAUUAAGGUGUUUUUAUAUGUGUAUAUAUAUACAUAUACAUAUACAUCCUACAUUUUACCCUUUGAGAGAAAAGGAGUUUUUUUUUCCCUCCCUCAGGAUUUUUCUGUUGGAAAGCCUCCUUACAGAUUAGUUGAGACCCUUCAGGAAGAGAAACUGUGAAUCUACACCUGCUUCCUGACACAUACAUCUUUAUACAUACAUAUAUACAUAUUGAUUUAUAGGACAUAUUGUGUUGUGUGUCUAUAUAUAUAUAGACAAUUAUAGAUGUUAUAUGCAGACAUAUAUAUACACAUCUAUACAUACAGAUUUUUACAUGAAAGACAGUCUCACUCUGUGACCCCAAGAAUUCUCACAUAGUGCCAUCAGAUACAGGUUUGUCCAACUCACUUGAUUAUCAUAGGUAUUGCCCUUGAAUCUACACACACACACACACACAUGUAUAUAUAUUGUGAAUGGUGAUACUGUACUGACUGAUUUUUUUUCCAAUACUUGAAGAAUUCAGAAUUGUCUGAAGUGGUUCAACUUUUAUUCCACGAGUGUUCUGGUGUCGCCGAGGCACGUGACGAUUUAUAGAUGCUCCACAGUGAUUAAGAAACCCCGAUUCUUCAAUCAUUAAUCACAGAUCACUAAAUUAUCAUAUUAUCAUUAACAUCAUCAUCAUUAUUGAUACUGGUGAUCAACAACAUACGGACAACAGUAAUUAAAAGCAAAUAACUUUCCAAGAAUUUAAUCCGACAUUGAACUGCCAUUUCCUAAGAUAAUCUAUAAAUAUCUUGGUUCAGUGAAAAUUCUUGAGUUGGAUUUCGGAUGUUAAAAUCCGAACAACAAGGGAAGAGGAAUUGGAAAUUGUCUUAUUAUUGUCUACCAUUUUCUUGUUCUUCGUUGUUUAAAGACAAAACUAAAGUAAAAAAAGACAUCAUCCAUGUUUACAAGAUGUCGUUUCCCAAGAAUCGUUAACUAAUUACAACUGGGUCUGUUCUUGAAUUACACCUUGACAUGGCUGUGUGCAGCCGUUAGACUCAACUACAUCUGUUGUCUUUCCUGUAUGCAUUAGAUAGAUCAGGAGUUGAGAUGGAGGGAAACAGUUGCAAUCAUAUUGGCCAUCAUCACCACAAUCACCAUCACCACAACCAUCACCAUGGUCACACUCUUCACAACAGCAGCAGCAGUAAUCAACAAGCUGUCGUGCUGGCUGCUGCUAAUUUAGCAGGGGACGGUAGCAUGGCGCUGUCGGUGGCACCGGGGGGUGCGACGUCCGACAAGCAGUACAAGUGCGACAUCUGCGGCAAGUGUCUGUCGCGAAGGGACCACUUGAAGCUCCACAAGCGGAUCCACACCGGUGAGCGCCCUUUCAAGUGUCAGAUCUGCGGCUGCGCGUUCUAUCGCAGCGACCACCUGGCGCGGCACCGGGGCACGCAUCAGCUGGAGAAGCGGUUCAGCUGCGAGAUCUGCCGCAAGACGUUUGUGCACCGGUCGUACCUGAAGGUGCACCAGAGGAUCCACACGGGCGAGCGGCCGUUCCGGUGCCAGAUCUGCGGGUUCGCCUUCUCCCGGAAAGACCACCUUGUCAAACACAAUCGGCCGAACAAGAACGGCAUCAAAAUAAGCUGCGUGCCGCUACGCAACAACAGCAACAACAACAACAACAACAACGGAAGUAAUAAUGUUACCCUGGCAACAACAACAUCAAUCACAACAGAAGCCUCCCCAACACCAAUCAGCAGCAGUAACAUCAACAGCAGUAGUACUGGUGGUGGUGGUGGUGGUGGUAGUAGUAGUAGUAAUAGUAGUAGCAGUAGUAGUAGUAGUAGUAGUUCUUCAAAUACCAAUAAUAAACCUAACAAAGAUAAACAGACUAGCCCCACUACCGUUGCCGCUAACAGCUCUGGGGUGAAUACCAGUUGUGCUGUCAGUGUCAAUACAUCACAGCAUGCAGUGGUUGCUAGCCAACAAGCAAGUGCCUCGGUUGUCGACAUCUCGAGCCAACCACAGCACUCAGGGGUGAACGUUAGUCACCACCUCAACUCGAACGUGGUAGCGAGCACUCAAGCCGCCUCCUACCCGGCCGGCACCCAGGUCUACCCGCUCUACACCCAGAUGAAUCCUGUCACACAUAUCUUUCCGAGCACGAUACAGAUAUCGCCGGCGACCACGCAGAUCUUCCCUACCAUUCAAAUGUACCAAGGAGCCGUCACCGUCUCUGCCCCAGCGGCAGCACAGCUUUAUCAGACGAAAUAAAAUAAAAAAAAAAUAAAAAAACAGACAGACAGAGAAAACAAUGAAAUUUUAAACCCGAGGAAAUUUUCCAAAAAAAAUAAACAAAACAAAAAAAAAAAAAGAAACGAAAAAUUGUAAAAACUGAAAUAUAAAACAACAAACUUGGAAAUGAAAUUUGAAAAACAAAAAAAAAUUGAAUAAAAAUUUUCCAAUUUUAAACGGAAAAUGGAGAAAUUAAAUAUGGUUCGUUGUGUUGAAUUAAAAAGAAAAUCGAUAAGACCCUAAUUAUUGAAGUGUGACAAGGUUUUGUCACAAACCCUUUAAAUAAACAGCCCUCUACACACACACUCACACCCCUACUCGGCACGCACACUCUCUGAACUGUUCCCAUUGUCUGCAAACUGUAGAUGUUGAAAUGGAUUUGCACCAUUUCAAUAGGCUACGAAUUUACAACCUCAACAAACUAGACUCUCAUAUUCCUUUCUGACAAUGUGACUCUGACAGUGUGACCCUCAUACUCGAGUCCGACAGUGUGACUCUCAUACUCUAGUCCGACAAUGUGACUCUCAUACUCCACUCCAACAGAGUGACUCUUAUACUCCACUCCAAGUGUGACUCUCAUACUCCACUCCAACAGUGUGACUCAUACUCCACUCUGACAGUAUGACUCUCAUACUCCACUCCAACAGUCUGAUUCUCAUACUCCACUCCAACUGUGUGACUCUCAUACUCCACUCUGACAGUAUGACUCUCAUACUCCACUCCAACAGUCUGAUUCUCAUACUCCACUCCAACUGUGUGACUCUCAUACUCCACUCCAACAGUGUGGCUCAUACUCCACUCCAACAGUGUGGCUCAUACUCCACUCCAACAGUAUGACUCUCAUACUCCACUCCAACAGUGACUCAUACUCCACUCCAACAGUGUGACUCAUAUUCAACUCCAACAAUUUGAUUCUCAUACUCGACUCUGACAGUGUGACUCUCAUACACCACUCUUAGACAGUGUGACUCCCAGUCAGCAGCAAUAGGUGUCUGCUUCCAAAACAUUGUUACAUCAGUCAAUUCUGUUGAUGUUGGUUUGGUAUCAGAUGUUGGGGGAGGAGAGAUGGGAGAAAGAGAGGGAAAGAGGGAAAGAGGGGGGGCGGCUAAUGGUAGUUCCAUGGUUCACAAAACUUUGCUAAUUUUGUCAAUAUGUCUUUUGUGAGAAAACAAAAGUUCUGUUCUACAAUUCACCACUUCUGCUAAACAUACAGAGACAGAUAUAGUUUAAGGCGGUGCCCCUGCAUGGCCACGGUCUAUUGACUGAAAUAAGUAAAGGAUACAAAAUAUAUAUAUGUGUGUAUAUAUAUAUAUAUAUAUAUAUAUGUAUAUAUAUAUAUAUAUGUGUGUGUGUGUAUAUAUAUAUAUAUAUAUGAUGAUAUAUAUAUAUAUAUGAUGAUGAUGAUAUAUAUAUAUAUAUAUAUAUAUAUAUAUAUGCAGUGUAGGAGGAUAAAAAGGCCAGGGUGUUGAUCCGCUAAAAACUAAUUAACAUAUUGCAAACAGUCUUCUCAUUCCCCACCCCCCUGCUAAAUGCUACCUCCCUCCCUCCUUCCCUCCCCUCUCUCUCGUGGAUGUCACUCAACUUCUGGGGUCAGUCCUUGCACACUCUUAAAAAAAACCUGCUCUAGCCUGGUCACAGAUGGGCUGUGAAUGACAAAGACUGGAUUUUGUUAUUUUUUCUUUUUUAAUCAACCAGGCUUUUGUUUCUCUAGUUUUAUAUUAUUACUAUGUAUACAUAAGGAUGGGGGUCUUUUUUUUUUCUUCUUCUCUUUCUCGCCAUUAUUUCGGGUGAGGGGGGCAGUCAAUGGAUAAUGCAAGGGUGUGUGGAGCCAAUGGACAUGAGUCGGGUCGGGGUUAGAUACUGGACAAUAUGAAAUGACUGCUAGGUUUUAUUUUAUUUUAUUUUUUAAUGGCAAAAAUAAAUAAUUUGAAAAAGAGAAAAAAAA